UACGGAGGGGGCGAGCGUUAUUCGGAAUUAUUGGGCGUAAAGGGUGCGUAGGCGGCUUGAUGUGUCAAAGGUGAAAUCCCUCGGCUCAACUGAGGAACUGCCUUUGAAACUGUCUGGCUUGAGGCCGGGAGAGGGUAGCGGAAUUCCCAGUGUAGCGGUGAAAUGCGUAGAUACUGGGAGGAACACCGGUGGCGAAGGCGGCUACCUGGACCGGAACUGACGCUGAGGCGCGAAAGCGUGGGUAGCAAACAGG
RNAcentral lists this ribosomal RNA (253 nucleotides) under uncultured bacterium. Its description in RNAcentral is "partial 16S ribosomal RNA". It matches the Rfam family "Bacterial small subunit ribosomal RNA", at positions 524 to 776 of the family's 1533-position model. The record is from RNAcentral.